This 1587-nucleotide ribosomal RNA is filed under the name Parotoplana primitiva. Its description in RNAcentral is "eukaryotic LSU rRNA". It matches the Rfam family "Eukaryotic large subunit ribosomal RNA", at positions 83 to 1453 of the family's 3401-position model. The record is from RNAcentral. Lineage: Eukaryota; Metazoa; Platyhelminthes; Proseriata; Otoplanidae.
GUAACAGCGAGUGAAGAGGGAUGAGCCCAGCACCGAAUCCAGCUUUGUUUCAUUGCUGUGAAAUGUGGUGUUUAGGGCGUCUUUUGUGCUUUGUGACCUGCCCUAAGUCUACUUGAUUGUAGCUUUUGGCCCAUAGAAGGUGUAAGGCCUGUAUGGUUGGGUUGCUUAGUAUCCGAGGCGCCCUUAGAGUCGGGUUGUUUGAAAAUGCAGCCCAAAGCGGGUGGUAAACUCCAUCCAAGGCUAAAUACAAGCACUAGUCCGAUAGCAAACAAGUACCGUGAGGGAAAGUUGAAAAGAACUUUGAAGAGAGAGUUCAAUAGUACGUGAAACCGCUCAGAGGUAAACGGGUGGAGCCGAAAUUGACUUUGGGGUCUCAGCUGAUUGGAACGUUAGGUGUUUUGUGAUGCCAAAUUGCAGCUAUAGCUUUUGGUGUCCGAGUGUCCGCGUUCUAGUCAGUGCACUAUCCCUUAGUCUUCACUACGACCGGUCGGGCCGUUGGUCUGCUGUUCGGGGAUGGUAGGGUUGACUCUUGUAGUUGACUUGAUGACCCUGGAUGCGGAGUCAGCGGUGGACCGGAGACAGCGAUGCAAGCACCCCGUGCACACAAGUUUUGCUGCGUCGAGUACUGUCGGGGAUUAUACUGGCUUCCAGUUCUUUCCUGGCGGUGCCGGCUGACGGCGGGGCCUCUGUGAUUUGUGUCUAAAGUCAGUAGUGUGAAUGUAGGUAGCCCACCCGGCCCGUCUUGAAACACGGACCAAGAAGUCCAACAUGUGCGCGAGUCAUUGGGCGUUACGAAACCCAAAGGCGAAGUGAAAGUAAAGGUCAGUGCUACUGGCUUAGGUGUGAUCCGGUCAUGGGUUUCUGAUCCAUCCGGCGCAACACCGGCCCGUCCCAUGAUGUGCUACAUCGGGGCGGAGCAAGAGCGUACAUGUUGGGACCCGAAAGAUGGUGAACUAUGCUUGCGCAGGAUGAAGCCAGGGGAAACUCUGGUGGAAGUCCGUAGCGGUUCUGACGUGCAAAUCGAUCGUCAGACGUGAGUAUAGGGGCGAAAGACUAAUCGAACCAUCUAGUAGCUGGUUCCCUCCGAAGUUUCCCUCAGGAUAGCUGGCACUUGGUAAUCAGUUUUAUCCGGUAAAGCGAAUGAUUAGAGGUACUGGGGCCGAAAUGGUUUCAACCUAUUCUCAAACUUUAAAUGGGUAAGACGUCUGUCUCUCUUAAUUGGAGAUGGACCUUGAAUGAGAGUGCCUAGUGGGCCAUUUUUGGUAAGCAGAACUGGCGCUGUGGGAUGAACCAAACGUCUGGUUAAGGUGCCUAACAUAUCGCUCAUCAGAUACCACAAAAGGUGUUGGUUGGUCCAGACAGCAGGACGGUGGCCAUGGAAGUUGGAAUCCGCUAAGGAGUGUGUAACAACUCACCUGCCGAAUCAACCAGCCCUGAAAAUGGAUGGCGCUGGAGCGAUGGACCUAUACCGGACCGAUAUAGCAAGCUUGUGAAGCAAGGAAGCUGUAUCGAGUAGGAGGGCCGCCGUGGUGAGCGUGGAAGCUGUCGCCGUGAGGCGAGGUGGAGCCGCCACGGGUGCAGAUCUGG